GACGAACGCUGGCGGCGUGCUUAACACAUGCAAGUCGAACGGAAAGGCCCUGCUUUUGUGGGGUGCUCGAGUGGCGAACGGGUGAGUAACACGUGAGUAACCUGCCCUUGACUUUGGGAUAACUUCAGGAAACUGGGGCUAAUACCGGAUAGGAGCUCCUGCUGCAUGGUGGGGGUUGGAAAGUUUCGGCGGUUGGGGAUGGACUCGCGGCUUAUCAGCUUGUUGGUGGGGUAGUGGCUUACCAAGGCUUUGACGGGUAGCCGGCCUGAGAGGGUGACCGGCCCAUUGGGGACUGGGUAACGGCCCAAACCCCUACGGGGGGCAGCGGGGGGGAAUAUUGAAAAAGGGGCGGAAGCCUGAUGCAGCAACGCCGGGGGGGGGAUGACGGCCUUGGGGUUGUAAACCGUUUUCGCCUGGGACGAAGGGUGAGUGACGGUAAUGGGUAAAGAAGCACCGGCUAACUACGG
Molecule: ribosomal RNA, 467 nt
Filed under: uncultured bacterium
Lineage: Bacteria
Description: partial 16S ribosomal RNA
Rfam family: Bacterial small subunit ribosomal RNA
Source: RNAcentral